Molecule: long non-coding RNA, 269 nt
Filed under: Citrus maxima (pomelo)
Lineage: Eukaryota; Viridiplantae; Streptophyta; Magnoliopsida; Sapindales; Rutaceae
Description: long non-coding RNA (CMAX_LNC003954)
Source: RNAcentral
CCGAUAAAAAAGGAUGUGAAGCCAAUUUCCUGUAAUGGCUUUUGUGGGGGAAGCCUUGUUGGUCCCGAUCCAUUGUCUGUGCAGGCUCAGAUGUGGGAGAUCCUUGCCAACUGGGUAUGUAAUUACUUUUUCCUUUCGUUUCCCUCCUCAUUAGUUCUUGUUUAACUUGUCUUAUUCUUAUCUUUAUACGUGUGGUAACUACAAUGAUGGAAUUAUUUUCGUUUGCCAUAUCCAUGAAUAAGAGAAAUCAAGAGAACUUGAAACUGGGA